RNAcentral lists this ribosomal RNA (518 nucleotides) under uncultured bacterium. RNAcentral's name for it is "bacterial SSU rRNA". It matches the Rfam family "Bacterial small subunit ribosomal RNA", at positions 791 to 1314 of the family's 1533-position model. The record is from RNAcentral.
UAGUCCACGCCCUAAACGAUGUUUACUCGAUGUUUGGACUUCGGUUUGAGCAUCCAAGGGAAACCAUUAAGUAAACCACCUGGGGAGUACGUUCGCAAGAAUGAAACUCAAAGGAGUUGACGGGGGUCCGCACAAGCGGUGGAGCAUGUGGUUUGAUUCGAUGAUACGCGAGGAACCUUACCAGGGCUUAAAUGUAGAUUGACAGGUUUAGAGAUAGACUUUUCUUCGGACAAUUUACAAGGUGCUGCAUGGUUGUCGUCAGCUCGUGCCGUGAGGUGUCAGGUUAAGUCCUAUAACGAGCGCAACCCCUGUUGUUAGUUGCCAGCGAGUAAUGUCGGGAACUCUAGCAAGACUGCCGGUGCAAACCGCGAGGAAGGUGGGGAUGACGUCAAAUCAUCACGGCCCUUACGUCCCUGGGCCACACACGUGCUACAAUGGUAGGUACAGAGAGCAGCCACUGGGUGACCAGGAGCGAAUCUAUAAAGCCUAUCACAGUUCGGAUCGGAGUCUGCAACUCG